This is a long non-coding RNA of Culex quinquefasciatus (southern house mosquito), 1340 nucleotides long. RefSeq lists it as uncharacterized. The record is from RefSeq and is a predicted model, not a curated record. NCBI's taxonomy places the organism in Eukaryota, Metazoa, Arthropoda, Insecta, Diptera, Culicidae. The transcript is spliced from 4 exons.
AGUUCACAAAUUUUUUCGCGCCCAAAAAUUUAUGUUCAUUAUUUAAAAGCAAAACAAAAUCUCGUCUUUUGCAACCAGUUUCAUUAAAAUUGAUGCAGGGAAUCAUGAGAUAUAAUCGAUUUUGUUCUUCAAUCCGGCAGAAAGGCAUACGAUUUUAGGCAAGUAGUCUCCUUUUGGCGCCUACAUUUGAAACACAAUCGCGCUGCAAAACCUUAAUUUUGAUGCACCACAAAAAUAUUUUUUUUGAGUUUUUUUUUGCAUUUUACGAAGCAACCAAAUAUGAAACCGGUUUUAAUAUAGCGUGAAACGUGGAAUUUUUAAAUAUCAAAAUUUAAUCACUUUGCGCAAAGUGGGGACUCAACCAAUCCUUCCCAAACUUUAGCUAGUUUUUAAGGAACCCAAAAGAAACUGAAGAAAUGCUCACUAAAAUUGGACAACUUUAUUUUUUCCAUACAACCAUAUUACACCCUAAUGCUACAUUUGUUGCACUACCCUUAAUUGGGUAACCGAACUCCGACAAAUUCCGACACCAUUCUCUUUUACCGGUCUAGAAAUGGGCUACGUCAUUGAUUGAAAAACGUCAAAUUUUGUUUAUAAACAAACGUCUGAGAAGUGAGCACAUAUUUUCGAGAAAAAGUGAAAAUCAGUCUUUUGCAGAGCAAACAUCUGCCAAAGAGUUCGAUCCUUCACGAGCUUCGAGCGAAAGAAGAUUACCAGGGCGAUUCAGACCGGAAUUACAGUAGUGACGGAAUAUGGAUAGAGGUCAUCACAGUAAUUUUGAGGUUGAUGCAGCUUGGAACCACGGAAAUGAUUAGCGACGGAAUCAAGGACGGAAUGAAAGGAGAAUAAAAGGUAGUUGUGGCCUACGGGAUCUACUAUAUUGAGUGAAUUCCUGUCACCAACCGAACGGCAAAAAGAUUCCUUCAACUAAAACGUAUUUACUUAAAGUGUGCUGAAUCGCAACAAUUGCUCUUACGUGGUGAAAUACGCUCGAGGACCGAAAAUGAAAGUUGGAACAGUUCGUGUGAUGUAUUUCAACAUUCAAAAUCUGCCGAUUCAGGAAACCAUUUGUCUGCAUCGUCUCAGUGGUGCGGUAGUAAGAUAAGAAAUGUGCCGAGUGGAUCAAAACUUGGUACAAGCCUCUGACGCCGGCCAGAUCGCUACUAAUCUGUUCAACCCGGAUCGAAGCAAGCAAACAGGACCAGCCGAGACGAAAGCCCAGGAAAAAUGACAAGUCUUCCAUCUCACAUCCCCUAACUAGUGCAUUCAUUGUUAUUGAAAUAAGGUAAGAAUAGCCCGUGUUGCUAAAAUCACCGUCUGCUGUCAUCAGAUAACAGUAA